RNA transcript from Humulus lupulus (European hop), 4826 nucleotides. RefSeq lists it as uncharacterized. The record is from RefSeq and is a predicted model, not a curated record. NCBI's taxonomy places the organism in Eukaryota, Viridiplantae, Streptophyta, Magnoliopsida, Rosales, Cannabaceae. The transcript is spliced from 12 exons.
UUUUGUAUUUUACUUAGGAUUAAUUAUGCUAACGUAUAAGAAGCCAAAUAUUAUACAUGGCAAAGAACACUUAAUAAGUUUUAUAUAAAGAAAUGCCUACUUACAAUAUAGUAUGCAUAUUUUGUGAGUUUUAAGUAAAAAAAUAUAUCUCAACCUUCUUAUUGAAUUAAACGACUACCUCCCCAAUUUAUAAUGAAUGUGCAUGUACAAAAGAAAAUACAAAAAAAAAAAAAUUUAGAGAGGGUGCACUACACCAAAUACCCAUUUCCAUAACACAUGAAUAUAAUACUAAUAAAAAUGUGUUAUGCUAGAGUAUUAUAUUGGGCAUGAAAAAAGGGCGGUAAUAUACACCAUCCCGCCACUUAGCCUUUUUUUUUCAUUCCUGAGAACUGAAAAUUUGUGAGACCCGCCCCUUAGCCUUUUUUUUUCAUUCCUGAGACCAGAAAAUUUGUGAGACCCGAGAGACCCUUCGGCCAAAUCCUAAUUUCGUUUUGCUUCUCCCGGUCGUCGAGCCUGAUCGACUCGACUCUUUUCCCUGCCCCCCGGCCUCUCACUUCGUUUCGUUCUUCUUCUGUAUCGUCGCUUGAAUGAAGACACCCGAUCGACCCGACUUUCCCAAAUGUCCACCACCGGCCCUUCUCCUUUCCAAUUCCAUUGCCAACUUGUACCGGUCUCAUUGGCACUACCAUUAUUCCAUAAUCCGAUUCCCUCUCACUACUACUACUACUACUCCCACUUCCACUACCUCCCCUUUUGCCUCUUCCUCUUCUCCCCAAAUGCCUAUUUAAUCCCAACAUGUGAAUUCCCAAGAAGCCCGUUUCAUUUUGCUUCUCUUUGUUUUCACCUGACGUUUUUCCUCCCACUUUUUCUUCCCGUAUUCGACUCAUUUCCGGAACUUUCACUCUAUCGGAUUCUUUUCCAGGAAAGAGAAAAGGGAUUUGUUUCGGAGGUGUUUCUUGGAGCCUAGCUUGGAAGAUUGUUAGAGUUGGAACUUAACGUGGUGCCCAGGUGUAUUUUUGGAGUCUUCCUAGCUGUGCUGGAAAUCAGCUGAGAAAUGUAACUCGCAAACUUGAAUCUGAUCUUCAUAGCAGUAAGAAGCAGUUUGCAGAACUUGCUGAGCAGUGUGAAUCGUUAAAGAAGGGGCGAGAGGCAUCUAUGAGCAUCCUUAAAGACCCUAUAUGUCUUACCAGGGUUUGAACUAGUUUAUAGAAAUGAACUCUUAGGUUAUUAUUUGUCUGACAUGUUAGCAUUUUCCAGGAUGAAAGAGAGGAGGCUUUAAAUGAGUUGAAAUCCAUUCAGCAAAAGCAUACUGAGCUGAAGGAAGAAAUGGAACAAUAUGCGGACAAUGAUCCAGCUGCCUUUGAAGCAAUGAGAAGUGCAAUUGAAGUUGCUCAUUCAACAGCUAACAGAUGGACAGUUGGAUCUUUGCCAGAAAAUGGGCGAACUUCUUGCAAGGACCACAGUUAAAUAUAUUAUGUGGCUGUAAUAAUGGCUGGAAAUGCUCUAUUGUUGGCUUUUUAUUCAAUAAUGCUUUGGUGGAGAACACAAUGGCAAAGCUCAAGGACGUAUUUCAUUGAAAUUUAUUUAUAUUUCUCUAUGUGACAACCUUACUAUUUCAACAUCAUUAAUAAAGGCUAAGACUUUUUUUUAAAAAAAAAGUAUCUAACCAUUAGUUUAUUGUCCUGUGCCUAGAAAUAAGUUGGUCUUAAUCAUUUGACUUCAUAAUUAUAGUUUGUAGGCAUUUAUAUUUGGUUCUUCUAUUUUGCUUGCUAUUAACAAUGCUUUCUUGAAAUUUUGGUUUGUUAUAACAAUAAGUAUCCCAAUUGUGCAAGCAUGAAUGUCAAUGUGUUCAUGUAACUUUGAGGGGUGUAAAGAAAUAUAAGAAGUUUUCAGAUGUGAGGGGUUGCAGUUAGCCUUAGCAUAUAUGCUAUGAUGCAUUCCAAUUUUCUUACUUAAUUUAUUUCUGCACAUACCUUUUUUCUCUUGAUUUCCUUAUUGUAAACUUACCUACCCCCCUCUCUUUCCCUACUUCCUUUGGGGUUUGAAAAAGCUAUCUUAAAAAUCAUCUUUUAAUUGUUAUGAUGUGUUUUAAUCUUUUCGUUUACAGAAUUACUGAGCUUGUGUUUUUUCUUUUUUGUUUCUUGUUGUUUCCAGUUUUAUGGUGCAACAACAUUUUUCAUUCAUAGAUCAGACUUUAGUGUCUCCUUGGUUAUGCUUUAUAUGAAGCUAAGAGCUUAAUGGCUCUUUAUUUGGAAAUAAAUUUUAGUACUUGAAAUUUUUGUUAGUACUUUCUUUAAAAUUACUAAAGAGAUGUCAAAUGAAAAUAUGAAAUGAAUAGUGUGGCACUAGAAUAUUGAAGUGCUAGAGUGGUAGUGAACAACUAGCAGAACAUGUUUAACUAAUUGCUCUGUACUUGUUUUCAAUAUGCUAUUGGGGUUGCUUUUCUGUGAAAAUACAUUAAGAUAUGUGGGAUUGUGGCCUCUGUUUCAAUGUGCAACAUAAAGCUUCCUGAUUUGAUUUUGAUUAUAGCUUUAUAGAACUAGUAGUAGCCAUUUUCAUGGCUCAUAUUCUGAAGGAUAUUUUUUAAGAGCUUAGCUAGUACCAUGUUUGUUAUUAAAUUGUUGGUGGUUUCUAAAAUCAUGGAAGUAGUGUGUUCGAAAGUUUCAAACUUUGGAUUCUUUUGGCUUUUAUUGAUUGUUGCUUUUACUAGUAGGCAGAAAGAACAUUUUUAAAGAGAGACUGCCCCAGUCUGAUGCAUCCACAAGCAGUUGUUACUGAUUCUGAUCUUCAUCUUGAAUUUCUGGCUGUUCAGAUCUCUAACUAAUGGUGUUGGUUCCAUUCCAAAUUAUUUACAUUUUUUCCUUUACAUUUGUAUUCGACAUGAAUUGCAAAUUGCUUAUGGAAAGCAGAUUGUGGUUCAUUUUUUUUCUUCUUCCAAAAUCAUUUCUAUAUAGUGUGUACAAUAAAAUAAUAGUUAAGAUAAUUCCCUGGAUUGGAAGAAUAGCUGACAAAUGAAAGUACAUUUAAACUAAUUUGGAAUGUGUUCUGUAUAGAAAAUGUAUUGUUACAUUGGCUUUUGUAUUCAAGCCUUUAUCUUUCAUUCUUCAUUGCUGGCUGGCAAAAACAUGAAAAAAGAAGAAAGCUGCUAUGCUUGAGUACUUUGACAUCAUCUUUGAUUUGCAUCCAUAUGAAUGCAAAUAAUCUCCAUAUUGUUUUCUUGUGUAAAAUUAUUCCUCACAGUCUCAUUUAUUGGACCAAGUGUAUUUUACUGUUCAGAACAUAUAUAUUUCACAUGGAAAAAGUAAACUAUUUCUUACUUUUGAACUUGGGAGUGGUACAAAAAUACACACAUAUGUUUAGACAGUUCAGAACAUAUAUAUUUCACACAAAAAUAGAUAAUAUGAUUUUAGAUUACUACUCCAGACCUCUUUGAUUUGAUUAAGUCUUUCUCAUUAAUAUUGCAUUCCAAAUCCUUAAACUUGUUCUUGGAUAGUGAAUUACAAGAGGUAUAUAUACACAUAAAGAGGCUGAUAAUAGUGAAUCAUUCUCUUCUGCUGUUGCUGCUUCUUAUGUACUGCUUUUUAUGCUACUUUUUUUUUCUUUUUUUUUUUACAAGUAUAUUUGUAGCUACUUAUUAUUAGAAGCAAAAUUUGUCUUUGUAUCCAUUAAUAUGUAAAACAAAAGGGUAUUUCUCUUUUCUCCAGCACUUAGUGUAAGUACAAGUAUUUUUAGUCAUGAUAUAUUCUUUCUUCACUUUAAUACAGUGCAUUUGUCACAAAUUGAAGCAGGGCAGGUGCAAAAACAGUACAUUGCAAGAGUUAUUGGGGCAUUUCCCGAGCAUGAGUUGUAGAUGCCAAUAUAAAUUAUAAUGCCCGGGAAGGAAAGAGCACAGCAGAGGUGCUCAACUCCUCUGGUGGCACUUCAGUAAAAGGGAAGGUUGCUUGUACCAAGUUCAGUAGAAUUAGUACCAUAAUGUGUUCCUCUAUAUAUGCAGAUUUAUAUAAUUAAAGUCGUAUGUAUUGAAGCUGUUAACAUUAUAUAUAUAUAUAUACAUUUUUUGGAGUAAAGCAUUUGAUUAUUGUACCCUUCCUAAGACUAUUUCAUGGUUUGGAAAACUAUCUAUGGCUCUAAGGUUUUUUUUCUUAAAAAAAUAGAUGUUAAAGGAGAUAGCUUCUGACUAGACAAUCUCUAGAAAAAGGUUGAGAUAUGACUUUACUUGUCCAUUCAGGCCAUUUUUGCCAAGUACUUCUGAUUUCUAUUUUCCAUGGUUGGACUAUGUGCUCUUUCUUCUGCAUUGCUCAUAUUUUGAUGCUUCUCUGAAUUUUCAUAAUGUGUUUUCUAACCAGGAAGGCAAUGUUGCCAACCAGAGGGAACAUCUAAUUCUUCUCCUUGCCAAUAUUCACAUUCAGAAAGCUAAUAAGCAGUCUGUCUUGAAGAGUUAUACAUAGUAUAUCCCUUUGCCAAUCAGUGACCUUGAUUCUUGGUUGAAGACACCCUCCAUAUAUGUUUUUGAUUGCUCUACAGCUGGGGGAAUAUUGUGAAUGCUUUUAUUGAGCUUCAUGAUUGGGUUGCUUCUAGCUCCUCUGGAUCCACAAGGGAUUGCAUUCUACUUGGAGGUUGUGAAGCACAUGAGACUCUUCCACAAAGUGCUGAAUUUCUUGCAGAUGUGUUUACGUCUUGUCUCUCAACACCUAUUAAGAUGGCUUUGAGAUGGAUCUUGCAGGCAAAGGACACCAAGUGAAUUAGAUAGAGAGGUUAAGAACUUGAGGGUGGCAUUUACUGACCUGUUUUUGAAGCAUAACACUUUCAAAGAAACUGCAAAGCCA